CAGUCGCCGCGGUAAUACGAAGGGUGCAAGCGUUGCUCGGAAUCACUGGGCGUAAAGGGUGCGUAGGCGGGUUUCUAAGUCAGGGGUGAAAUCCCAGAGCUCAACUCUGGAACUGCCUUUGAUACUGGGUAUCUUGAGUAUGGAAGAGGUUAGUGGAAUUGCGAGUGUAGAGGUGAAAUUCGUAGAUAUUCGCAGGAACACCAGUGGCGAAGGCGGCUAACUGGUCCAUAACUGACGCUGAGGUGCGAAAGCGUGGGGAGCAAACAGGAUUAGAGACCCCUGUAGUCCCUGUCUCUUAUAC
Molecule: ribosomal RNA, 301 nt
Filed under: uncultured bacterium
Lineage: Bacteria
Description: partial 16S ribosomal RNA
Rfam family: Bacterial small subunit ribosomal RNA
Source: RNAcentral